Molecule: ribosomal RNA, 406 nt
Filed under: uncultured bacterium
Lineage: Bacteria
Description: partial 16S ribosomal RNA
Rfam family: Bacterial small subunit ribosomal RNA
Source: RNAcentral
AUUGAACGCUGGCGGCAGGCCUAACACAUGCAAGUCGAACGAGUGGCGGACGGGUGAGCAAUGUCUGGGACACUGCCCGAUGGAGGGGGAUAACUACUGGACACGGUAGCUAAUACCGCAUACCCUCGGAUGUGCCCAGAUGGGGGUAGCGUGUCGGUGAGGUAACGGCUCACCUAGGCGACGAUCCCGAGCUGGUCUGAGAGGAUGACCAGCCACACUGGCACUGAGACACGGUCCAGACUCCUACGGGAGGCAGCAGUGGGGAAUAUUGCACAAUGGGCGCAAGCCUGAUGCAGCCAUGCCGCGUGUAUGAAGAAGGCCUGCGGGUUGUAAAGUACUUUCAGCGGGGAGGCGUUACCCGCAGAAGAAGCGCCGGCUAACUCCGUGCCAGCAGCCGCGGUAAUUC